This 332-nucleotide ribosomal RNA is filed under the name uncultured bacterium. Its description in RNAcentral is "bacterial SSU rRNA". It matches the Rfam family "Bacterial small subunit ribosomal RNA", at positions 568 to 898 of the family's 1533-position model. The record is from RNAcentral.
AGCGCAGGCGGAAUCGUGUGUCGGAUGUGAAACCCGGGGGCUCAACUCCCGGACUGCGUCUGAAACUGCGAUUCUAGGGACUCGGAGGGGCUAGUGGAAUUCUUGGUGGAGCAGUGAAAUGCGUAGAUAUCAAGAGGAACACCAACGGCGAAGGCAGCUAGCUGGACGAGAUCCGACGCUCAGGCUCGAAAGUAUGGGGAGCAAAAAGGAUUAGAUACCCUUGUAGUCCAUACUGUAAACGAUGUCGACUAGGUCUUGGGGCAUUCGAACGCCCCAGGGCUCAAGCUAACGCAAUAAGUCGACCGCCUGAGGACUACGGUCGCAAGACUAAA